Molecule: long non-coding RNA, 2051 nt
Organism: Catharus ustulatus (Swainson's thrush)
Lineage: Eukaryota; Metazoa; Chordata; Aves; Passeriformes; Turdidae
Exons: 2
Source: RefSeq, a predicted model, not a curated record
GAAGGGAGAGUGAAGGAUGCACGAGGCAGGAUGCAGUAUCCAAGAAAAUGUCUUUAUUUAUUGUACACGUUGGCUUCUAUUGCUUGGAUCCCCUCCCCAGUCCCAUGUAGUGCAAAAAAUUCCAGAGAAACAGAGUUCCACAUAAAUAAAGUCGGAUAAAUUACAGAGAAAUCAAAGUGACAAGGCUCGGACAUGGAUCUGGACCAGGUGUGGCCAGCAGGGAGGCCGAGGGAGCCUCUGCCCCCAGAGCAGGGCAGGGGAUCCUGCCUGGCCCCGCUGGGAACAUCCCCAGAGCCAGAGCCCCCGGCUGGGGGACGCUGCUCCGCUGGGAAUUUGGACAAGGAACACCUCGAGUGACACAGCACGGACUACAGCUGGCAGGGAAGCCACACAGAGUUGUUCUCCUCCCCUCAGACGGACAGACAGACAGACAGACACGGACAGGCGUCCCCUGCGAGCUCUCCUCCUCCUCCUGCUGCUCGCCAGGGGACUGCAGCACCAGGAGCAAUCCCGCCCUGGCAGAAUCCCCCAGGGCAGGCGCUGACACCUCGUGUCCACACAGUGUGGGUCGGGGGGCUCAGGACCCCGGGAGAUGCUGGGGAAUUGUUGGGGAAUUGUUGGGGAAUUGUUUUUGCCCUCUCCUUCCUCCUCCUCGAGCACCUGCAUAGUUGGGGCAGCAGAGACAAGAGGAUGCUCUGGCUGGUUUCCAUGGCUCAGGUUCAUGGGGCAGCAGAGAUGAGGAUGUUCUGGCUGGCUCUCCAUGGCUCAGGUUCAUGGGGCAGCAGAGACAAGAGGAUGCUCUGGCUGGCUCUCCAUGGCUCAGGUUCAUGGGGCAGCAGAGACAAGAGGAUGCUCUGGCUGGCUCUCCAUGGCUCAGGUUCAUGGGGCAGCAGAGACAAGAGGAUGCUCUGGCUGGCUCUCCAUGGCUCAGGUUCAUGGGGCAGCAGAGAUGAGGAUGCUCUGGCUGGCUCUCCAUGGCUCAGGUUCAUGGGGCAGCAGAGACAAGAGGCUGCUCUGGCUGGCUCUCCAUGGCUCAGGUUCAUGGGGUAUUGCUCAGCACCCAGCCAAGGGGGACAGGAGUCCCCCAGCUCCUGUCCCUGGUGCAGGACAGCACCACACAGGAUUUGCAGUGUGGGUGCUGAAGGCUCACACAAGGCCAAGGGCACCCAAAUUCUCCUCAGGAUUUGCAGUGUGGGUGCUGAAGGCUCACACCAGGCCAAGGGCACCCGAAUUCUCCUCAGCUGCUGCAUUUCUCCCUUCCCUCAGGUUUUGCUCCCAAGGCACAGCUCCCAGCUGGAGCCACGGCCACGUCUCAUUCCCAGUUUGAAAUGCUCUGUUUGCCCCUCAGCAGCUCCUGUUGGACUUCACUCCCCCUCCAUUCCUGGCUCCUCCUGAGCUGCUCAGCACCUCGGGCCAAGCUCAGAACCAGCCCCUUCCACCUCCCCACGGGGAUUUUGGGGUGAUCCCCCUCCACAGGGGACCCCAGAGCCAGGGGACACCCCGAUGUGAGCCCAGCAGGAGAGGGAAAUCCUGAUGCUGGUCACAGGAAUGGCAUGGAAAGGGUUGAGAGAUCACUCAGGUGGAGGCACAUGCACAAAACAGAGCGGAUCUCACUGAUUUCAGCAUUUUUUGGACAAAGCAGAUUCCUCUGACCUUCAUGGGCCAGGAGAGCUGCAGAGCUUGGACACUCACAGAGUCCUCUGCAGGACAGCGAAACGGGAGAGCUGCUGAGCUGUGACAGGCUGGGGCAGUGAGAAGGGGACAAAAAGGACAUUUAGAGCCUGUUCCAAAAGCCAAAGAGGCCUCCUCAGCCUGAGAAACUCAGACUGUUCCUGGGGAGAGGCCAGAGGGGGAGGCAGCCCUGGUUCUCAGAAGCUGCUGGGAAUUCCAGGUGUACAACGUGAGGCACUGAGAGUGGGCUUGGAAAACCUGCAGGCACCUGUCCAGGGAAAAUCAGACUGCCAAGAAAAGGAUCUGAAAGCUGGGGAGUCCCUGCCUCAUUUUAAACUCUUCUUUCACCCCCCCAAAAAAAGGAGAAAUCUUUUGCUACU